CCUACGGGAGGCAGCAGUAGGGAAUCUUCCGCAAUGGACGCAAGUCUGACGGAGCAACGCCGCGUGAGUGACGAAGGUUUUCGGAUCGUAAAACUCUGUUGUGAGGGAAGAACACGUACCAACUAACUAUUGGUACCUUGACGGUACCUCACCAGAAAGCCACGGCUAACUACGUGCCAGCAGCCGCGGUAAUACGUAGGUGGCAAGCGUUGUCCGGAAUUAUUGGGCGUAAAGCGCGCGCAGGCGGUUCCUUAAGUCUGAUGUGAAAGCCCACGGCUCAACCGUGGAGGGUCAUUGGAAACUGGGGAACUUGAGUGCAGAAGAGGAAAGUGGAAUUCCACGUGUAGCGGUGAAAUGCGUAGAGAUGUGGAGGAACACCAGUGGCGAAGGCGACUUUCUGGUCUGUAACUGACGCUGAGGCGCGAAAGCGUGGGGAGCAAACAGGAUUAGAUACCCUGGUAGUCCACGCCGUAAACGAUGAGUGCUAAGUGUUAGGGGGUUUCCGCCCCUUAGUGCUGCAGCUAGCGCAUUAAGCACUCCGCCUGGGGAGUACGGCCGCAAGGCUGAAACUCAAAUGAAUUGACGG
RNAcentral lists this ribosomal RNA (586 nucleotides) under uncultured bacterium. RNAcentral's name for it is "bacterial SSU rRNA". It matches the Rfam family "Bacterial small subunit ribosomal RNA", at positions 338 to 916 of the family's 1533-position model. The record is from RNAcentral.